Dermochelys coriacea (leatherback sea turtle) is the source of this 6681-nucleotide long non-coding RNA. RefSeq lists it as uncharacterized. The record is from RefSeq and is a predicted model, not a curated record. The transcript has 2 exons. NCBI's taxonomy places the organism in Eukaryota, Metazoa, Chordata, Testudines, Dermochelyidae.
AUGAUGCAAUCCUGCCUUCGUCUUUUCUCUGUGGGCUUGUGAUUUGCAUUUCCCUGCCGGUGCAUGGAGGGAAGGGUUGUUUUUUUUUUGUUUUGCUUUGUUUUUCCAAAGGGAGGAAGGUUACUGAGAGGGGAAGAUGAAUUGUGAGAUCACUUUUGAGUGUGCUGUAUUCGUUCCCCCUACCCAAACCCCCCCCCCCCGGGGGGGGGGACAUGUGAGCAAGGAGAGAGGGUGCCGCUAACCCAGGGACGGCCCGAAGCACUGCAGAUCGGUGCUGGGUUGUUUUGGGGAAGACGGUGGGGUUCUUUUUAGAGAGGUCUGGGAGACCGGUCUCCACUCCAAGAUUUGGGGGCUGUUUUUCUUAGUUGAUUUUUGAAGCUCGGGUGUGCUGUACGGGCCCCAGGUGAAAAUGAUCGCUCGCUAAGGAUUCCUCGUAGAGGGGCCCCCCUGCAACGCACAGCUCUAAACGUCGCCUGCCUUUUCCGUAUUGCUAUAUUUAAAAAAAAUCCUGCACGCCCAUCCCGCAAAGUAAUCCUUCCUUCAUCCCGCUCUCCUCUCCUUGCUCGGAACCGGACAAUUACUCCACUGGGUCGGUGUAUCCGGGGCUACGGAUCCUGCCCUAUUUACCCCCAAACGGAUCCCCACGUGAGCCUCACCCACCUCUGCUUCCCUCCCUUCCCACUCGUUUUAAGCUCUUUUUAGGCGGGCCGAGGUUGUCCCUUGGGUCAGGCUGAGGCAGGGAGGAGCCGCUGCCUGUUUAUUUCCCAUCCAUGGCCACUUUUGUUCAUGGCAAACUCCCUCUUGGUGCGCUUCACCUUAGGGCUUUUCUUAUCAACUCCGCGUGCAGAGACCUUUUGAAACCCUAAGCUUUUGGAGGCGAGAGCAGGUUAGGCCAUCCAGGCGGCUGGAUGCCAUCCACAGGCUUGCGGGGAGGGGGGAUUUGAAACCGAUCCCUAGCCGUCAGACGAGGAAAAGCACGGUAGAAACAAACACGGGCCACUCCCUUUCCCCAGCCCUGGGACAGUCGCAGUCCUCGGGUGGCAUCUGCCUUGCAUCAAGCACAUACAUAGCCGGGGAGUGCGUGCCUCGGUGAUUCAGAAGUCGGGGUUUCGUUCAGGCUGGUCGUUCGGCGCUCCGAGCUGCUGUGCUUGGGGAGAAACGGUUGGGUUUUCCUCUCCUGCCUUUAAUUACAGGGAUAGUGCACACCCUGUGCUCCCAGAGUGUAUUUUAAGCGAAGCUAAGGCAGCAAGAGAGGGAAAACCCAGGCAUGGUGGAAAUAAAUAACAGGACCUUGCUUAAUAGGGGAUUUCAGCAAGUGAAUUAGACUCUUUAAGUAGGUGCUUCUGCCCGCCUAGAAGUUUCACUCGCUGAGAUUUAGGGCUUUUUUGUUGCCCGUAUUUUCAGGGGGCAUGGAUGUAUGGUCAGCUAUGUUCGAAAAAAAGAGGUUGUGCUAACACUGUCAAUAGCUGAUCAACUUGAACAGGCCCAGGGAUGCAGCUGUGGCAAAUAUAGUGUGAACAAUAAAACUUUACAGUGCUAUAGGGCUUUCCCUGUAAGGAGCUGGCAAUGCUUACAUCGUGCAUCCUCCCCCCUCCCCCCCCCCCCCCCAGCGCUGAGAGGAAAGUAAGGAGGAACUGAGGCACAGACUUGCUCAAGGUAUCUAGGAAAACCCUGAUAAAACAACCCCCUGAAGAGAUGGGAUGUUUUUGCUAACCAGUGCUGAUUCCAUCCCUGGCAAUGCAAAGUUUGAAAGAGCAAUUGUGAAAGAACAACUAAUAAAAUAUUUCUAAUUACCUUUAGUUUUAAAUGGUCUUAGAUCUACUCAUAAAAAUCUCAGUUUACCUUCCUUUUUACAGUAGAUGAUUUGCAUGCAAGUUGUUUUGUGUUUAAUGCUCUUUUUCUGUGGCAAUGCAACCCCUUUGGUUUUGUGUCAAAAAGAUUAAUAGGAGAUAGCAGCCUUACCUGUUGGCAUAGGUUCCUUUCCACAGGAAACUGGCUCUCCAUAGGAGUUUGUAAUGAAGCAGCUUAAAAUCAGAUGAAAAACAUUAUCCCUAUCUGAAACCACUUCAGUUGCAUCUGAUGAAGGGAGCUGUAGCUCACAAAAGCUUAUGCUCAAAUAAAUGUGUUAGUCUCUAAGGUGCCACAAGUACUCCUUUUCACUUCGGUUUAGGUCCUAAUUCACCCUAUACUGCGCAUCAUUCUAUGUUAGAACAGAGAUAAUAGCCUUACUAGUGUGACAUAGUGAGGGUGCUCUGGACAGGUGGCAUUACUACUUGAGACCCUGAUGCCGCAAACAACCCCUGCCAUUAUGCACAUGCUCAACUUUAAGCAGGAAAGUAGGCCCAAUGGUUUCAGUGGGACUACUCAGACACACAGAGGGAAACCUGCUGUACUACUUGAAGUAAUCUACUUCCUCUUGGGCCAGGUAAAGAAUGAAACUGAAACACACAGCAGAGAACUCAUUUCAUAUAUAUGGCAGUUUUCUUUAUUGAUUGCUUGAUGUGAAACAAUUGGCAAUUUUUUCUCACGCAUUACAAAAAAAUAUUAAACUUGGCUCAGUCUGCAAUCCUUUCAGCACAGCCAUAUUAAUUAACAGAAAAAGAAAAAAAAACAGAAACAAACAAAAAAAAACCCCUACAAGUCUACCAAAUAGAGCAUUUACAAAUGCACAAAACAUGCCACUUUGGCUUUAUGGGGAAAAAAUAUCUUCUUCUAGAUUAAAAAAAUCUUUUAACAUAAAUAAGUUAGUAUAAUUUCUCAGUGUCUUUACAGAGUUAUGUACACAGGUACACUUCAAACUUUUAUGUUUUUAUUUUUACAUACAGAUACACAGGCAGUGUAGAAAUACUGUUUAAAGAUGUAAUGUCCCUUUUCAUUCACUCAUGAACAUCAGGGAAAAGAAAUCAGUAAUCAACAAUAUUCUGUUUUGGAAUAUGAACUCUCCAGAUUCAUUUGAAAAUAUCCAGCCAAUGUUAUGGGUAAUAGUUAGAGUCAAUGGAAUUACUCUAAAAUUCUUUAGGUUUAUCCUAAGAGAUUUAAGAAGUUGCAGGACAUAAAAAUCCUUUUGCAGCUACAUAACGGAAACAGAGCUCCCACCUCUUAAGCUUAAUGUAAUAAGUAGAAAUUCACACGCAGCCUGUAACAGUCUGCUGUAGCCAGUGUUAGCAUUAUGGUGUAUUUAAAAAAAAAAAAAAAAAAAAAAAAAAAAAAAAAAGACAUUGUAGACCCCACUUAAAGAGACAAUACAUCUUUAAUUUUUUUUUUUAAGAAAACCUCUACACUGCCUCUCUUCAUAAAUUUCCCUGCUUGCUAGAUUGUGAAAGCAAGUUUCAAUUGGUCACCCUUUUCCAUCCCCUCCCUCUCCCCCCCAAAAAAGGUUUAUGUGCUACAUAAGGUAAAAACUAUAUACACAGGUAGUACAAUGAAGCAAAUAAGGAAAAACCUAAUUGCACAAUGCUACAUCCAAUGCUUUUAGAGGCAGGUUUUUUAAGAGUGCCUAAAAUUUUAGUGUUAUUGUUUAUUUUUUUGUUUUUUUUUUUCAGUGCUUGUACAGGAUCUCCAUCCCAUGGAGAAUCAACGAUAUGUAUUUUAAUUUUUAUAUAUAUAUAUAUAUAUAUAUAACUUUACAUCUUCCUCCCUUCAUCAACCACCAAGGCAUCCGAUGAACAAGGAAAUGCAUAUUCUUAAAUCUGUAAUGAAAAUAAAAAGGGAAGGCAUUAGAAGUGCCAAAAGAAAUGUGAUUGCUUUGCUCUAGGAGAGAUCAUGACACACAAGGCACUAUUUAAAAACUAAAUCAGUCACUGGCAAUCUUUGCCCUAAUUGUUGGGGAUGGAGUGAUUUAAAAUUGGGUGUGGUGCCAACAAAACUUUUGACCAGUAAUCAGUAGUAUAUGAGCAGAAGAGGGCCAUAGUCCUUUAAAAACAAGGGAAAUUCACCCCCACCCCACCCUUAUGGAGGGCUACUGAUCCACACAUAGCUUUUUUAAAUCCAGCAGGCCUACACAGAGUUGAGACCAAGUGAACAUGUUUCCAGAGCGCCCCAUAUUUCACUUUUUAAAAGUAGUAUAAAUGCUGCGUUAUUAAGCAGUUUUGCAACAAAUCUGAUGGCUGACCCAGAGUCACAUAUUUAAGAUUAAUGCAAUAUUCGUUUGCAACUGAUCUUCUAUCUUUCUAAACUCAAACGUAUUUUGGGUUGCAAUAAUAAAAAUAAACAGCCCAGGGAACCCUCCUCUACUCCACUCCUUUUCUUUUUUGUCUGCCGACACCAUUAGUUUCCCCUUCAAACACCCAAAUAAACAGACAGUAGUAGUACAAUUUGCAUACACAUGCAUGCUGACGUGUUCAUGGAUUGUUUACCGCAGCAGAGGUAAUUUGUUUUAAUUUCUGCUUUACAGCUUAAUCUGUUCUGCACAAUCGCAAAUCAUGUUUGGAAGCCCUUUCCUUUAACCCCUACAACUUUGAAACCAUCGGUAAAUGUACGACCCCCAAGCCCUUACAUUUAAAAAAAAACCCUCUCCUUAACGCAGUGUGCUGACUGUAAAUCCCGAUGUGUGUGAUCGUAGAAAAAUGAAUAAAUAUAACAAAAAAGAACAGUUCUGAUACAAAGAAAAUGCUCAGCUUCUUGAUUUAUAGUCCUUAUUUACUUAUAUGUCUCACGAUUAAAGUUUGCUAGUAUGUGCAAAGACAAUAGGAAAAGCCAUUAAUACUCAUCUGAAAGUUCAAUACAGUUUAGAAAGAACGUAUUUGAAACUCAUUCGUUCUACCAGCAUGGGACCGAAUCAAUUGGUAAGAGGAUCCUCCUUACUUAAGUGACCCAAAUCUUAAACCAGAGCGACGGUAUUGUUUAUUAAUGGCACAUAAUAAAAACUCGCUCAUUUAUACUCCCUCUCCCCUACCCCCCAAGUUUAGCAUAGUCCUCCUAAAGCAUAUUAACAAGAUGUAUUUAAUGUAUAGACUUCUAUUUUAAAGCCCUUUUGAAAUUCUGUUUUUCAGGCGUAUUAAAAAAAAAGGCCAAAUCUACAAAGUUUUCAGAGAAACUAAUGUCAUAGAUACUGGAAUGACCUCAGAGUGGACCUUCAAUGCUUUACUCAGUUACACUGAUUUAAAAAAAAACAACAACACCCCACCGUUGUAAUGGGAACCCACCUAAACAGUUUACGUUUGACGUCUUCUUGGGCUGGAUUUCUUGGGUGUUUGCUCCACUGAACUGGCACUGGGGGACUCUUCUGAAACCUCUUCUUCUGUUGUGUUGGCUCUUUUAGGUUGAGGAAAAGAAUCUAGGAGGGGGACAUUGAAAGAAACAAAAAGAAAAGUGAAAACUUGAUAUUAAAUACAUUUGCUGCCAGAUGUUUGCUCUGCAUGAGGGAAUGGGGGACCGGAGGACCCUAAAUAUUUACGACCCUCAGGGUCAACUAUCGAUUGCAUGAAAGAGAUGGGGAGAAGAGUUGUUGCUUUGCUUAAAUGAAGACACAAGUGCCUUGUUUUGUCCAAAAUAUCCUUCUACAUUUGGCUUCACGUGUGUUAUGAAACUUGUACCUAUUUAAUCAAGUGAAAAGGAUGCAGAAGUCACAUAGCGAUUACUACAGUCGGGGGGAGAGGAAGGAGGUGUUAGUUUAAGGGCAUUUGACUGCAAAUGAUCCAUGGGCUCCAGAACCAAUUUAAGUUAAGAUUCCCGAGAGUACAGACCGUCCUGGGUUUUUAAGCUAAGAGGGGGGUAAAUCUCGAAACGCUGUCUGCCAGUAAACCAGUAGAACAGUUUACUGUAUGCCAGACGUGAGCGUGAUGUAUAUGCGACGGAGGUAAACUAACACUGACAAGGAUACAGUACAGAAGGUAAAAAGCUUUUGUUUUCUAAGAGUACGUUACCAUCCGUGGCUGGUCGUUUUCUUUGCCCAGUGCACUGGUCUGCUAAGUCCGUGUGAUUUUCAGAUACAUCAGUUUUUUGAUCUACAAAGUGAGUGUCCUCUGAGAUUCCCUGAGAACCGACUACAAUCACCGUCGUGGGGCAGUUUCCAUUUACAUCCAAACUCUCACGGGUGCCAACGACUUUGGGGGGCCUCGGAGGUCUGAAGUAGAAGUCGGGCGAGCUCCCUUUCUCCACCGCUUGCCACUCGAACCUGCCAGCCAGGGGCUUGUGAUUCUCGAAAUCAAAAUUCCACUUCCUUUGACAUGCCUCUUCCAUGUCCUUGCGGUGCUUCUUUAAGUCCCUGUUUAACUCUUCGUGAUUCACGGGCCCAAAGAGGUUCCUGCAAGCGGAAGGCUUGGGAUACUCCGACUGCCGGGCUUCCAUCCGCUCCAGGGUCGGGCUCCCAUUCGAAAUGCGCACGUUUGACAUUUCCCCCCACCCUCUUUCUUCUGGCGGCGCUGGUUGUUUUCCUCCUCCGCUGCGUGAAACUAUGUCCUCCCUCGUCUCUUCUUCUUUUUUGUAAACUCGAUCUCGGCUCCACGAGAAGAGACAACAACAAACACUUGCAUAAGACACGGGCCGGGGGGAGAGAACCCCUGAUGUGCACCAGAAAGCCUGGGGCAGAUCCAGUGGACGCCGGGGAGAGCGGAGGAUGGGGGGGGGGGGGGAAGCCAAGCCCCCUUUUGCGAGCCCACUUCCAGGCUGAUGCGAAGCCUGCGGCUCCCCCGAUCCAAACUGCGCUCGCAAACCUUGCCGAGGUCCAAGCUGCCGUGGAGU